GGUGGUGCCAGUAGGAAGAGUCAGGGGGCGGAGGAGGAGCGGCGGUGUGUGGCCAUGAGGAUGGCGGAGGAGUAGGUGGAGGUGGCGGAGGAGAUGGUGAAUGAGGAAGAUGCUUAGGCCACACGUGCAAAAGAGAUUGAUCCAUAGCAGGAGGAUGACCCCACACGUGUAAAGGCCUAAAAUGAGGGUGCAUGGGCGUCAUGGGCGGAAAUCCCAUGGUGGGCGGUGCACCCCAUGGACUCACCUCUCUCUUU
Molecule: long non-coding RNA, 254 nt
Filed under: Cucumis sativus (cucumber)
Lineage: Eukaryota; Viridiplantae; Streptophyta; Magnoliopsida; Cucurbitales; Cucurbitaceae
Description: long non-coding RNA (CSAT_LNC000777)
Source: RNAcentral